CCUACGGGUGGCUGCAGUGGGGGAUAUUGCACAAUGGGGGGAACCCUGAUGCAGCGACGCCGCGUGGGUGAAGGAGCGUUUCGGCGCGUAAAGCCCCAUCGGCAGGGAAGAAGAUGACGGCACGUGACCAAGCAGCUCCGGCUAACUACGUGCCAGCAGCGGCGGUAAUACGUAGGGGGCCAGCGUUAUCCGGAGUUACAGGGUGUUAAGGGGGCGCAGUCGGCAAGUGAAGCCAGGGGUGAAAGCCCGGGGGCCAACCCCGGGAUUGCACUUGGAACCGCAUGGCUGGAGUACAGGAGGGGGAGGCGGAAUUCCUAGUGGAGCGGUGAAAUGCGUAGAUAUUAGGGGGAACACCGGUGGCGAAGG
RNAcentral lists this ribosomal RNA (366 nucleotides) under uncultured bacterium. Its description in RNAcentral is "partial 16S ribosomal RNA". It matches the Rfam family "Bacterial small subunit ribosomal RNA", at positions 338 to 721 of the family's 1533-position model. The record is from RNAcentral.